Molecule: ribosomal RNA, 497 nt
Filed under: uncultured bacterium
Lineage: Bacteria
Description: partial 16S ribosomal RNA
Rfam family: Bacterial small subunit ribosomal RNA
Source: RNAcentral
GAUGAACGCUGGCGGCGUGCCUAAUACAUGCAAGUCGAGCGAACAGACGAGGAGCUUGCUCCUCUGACGUUAGCGGCGGACGGGUGAGUAACACGUGGAUAACCUACCUAUAAGACUGGGAUAACUUCGGGAAACCGGAGCUAAUACCGGAUAAUAUAUUGAACCGCAUGGUUCAAUAGUGAAAGACGGUUUUGCUGUCACUUAUAGAUGGAUCCGCGCCGCAUUAGCUAGUUGGUAAGGUAACGGCUUACCAAGGCGACGAUGCGUAGCCGACCUGGGAGGGUGAUCGGCCACACUGGAACUGAGACACGGUCCAGACUCCUACGGGAGGCAGCAGUAGGGAAUCUUCCGCAAUGGGCGAAAGCCUGACGGAGCAACGCCGCGUGAGUGAUGAAGGUCUUCGGAUCGUAAAACUCUGUUAUUAGGGAAGAACAAACGUGUAAGUAACUAUGCACGUCUUGACGGUACCUAAUCAGAAAGCCACGGCUAACUACGUG